AUUUAAUUUUAUUUUAUUAUUAUUUAUUUAUUUAUUUAUUUAUUUUGUCUUUUUGCCAUUUCUAGGGCAGCUCCCGCGGCAUAUGGAGGUUCCCAGGCUAGGGGUCGAAUUGGAGCUGUAGCCACCCGCCUACGCCGGAGCCACAGCAACGCAGGAUCGGAGCCGCGUCUGUAACCUACACCACAGCUCAAGGCAACGCCGGAUCGUUAACCCACUGAGCAAGGGCAGGGACCGAACCCGCAACCUCAUGGUUCCAAGUCAGAUUCGUUAACCGCUGCGCCACGACGGGAACUCCCCGGGAGGAGUCCGUCCCUCUAUCCCCCUCAAUUCAUCACAGUAAAGGAGUCAGGGAAGCCAGAGACAAGGUUCCAGAAAGGAAGACUGGAUGAGGACCUGGAGAGCUUGUUGUGGACCCCUGGGAAAGUGCUUCCUCAGACACGGAAAGGCCUUGCCAGGACCACAGAGCAUCAAGAGACAGUAUCCUGAUGCCCAGGCAGCUGAACCAGCCCAGAGACAGGAAGUGCACAGUCAGGAAGCUCUUCUUUCCAAAGCAGUCUGGGAAAUUUCUCAUCCAUAGGAUGUUUUGUUGUUGCUGUUGUGCUGUCAAUAAUUUAAUUUUAGUUGACCCCCAUAUGUUUUGGUUCUGCCCUGCUGAGAGAACAGCAGGUCACUCAGAGGAAGGGUUGCUAUCAUUUUGAGCAGUUAGAAAUUCUGCCCACUCCUUCUUCUCUUCUCCCCAUUUUCUAGCUCUAAGGUUCUCAACCUCUUCCCAGGGAACAUUUUGAAGAUUUGUGGGCUUUCUUUUUGAAAUUGCCAUGAUGGGGGGGGCACUAUGGGCUCUUAUGGGCAGGGCAGGGGAAUGAUAUUCUUCAAAGCCUAGCCUGCAGCAUGAAACUGUGCCUCCUCCACAUGCUCAAAUGUCCCCUAGGACAUUCAUGUAGGUGAAAACUUAUGUUUAAUUAUCUGAGCUGAGAGUUUAAUACAGUUAAAAAAAAGUCUUAUAUGCAAUGAACUUUCUAGGAAUGCAAUUACAGUUCCGUGUAAAUUCAGGGAAGAUUGACUUUGCUACCAAGGGUUUGUUCAACAUUUCGUUAAGUCACUUCAUUGAUGGCAACAUGCUGGAGGUAGUUGAGUCACCGACUCAGCACCUGUAUCAGCCUGCAUUUGUAGCAGUUCCAACCCUGUGAUUCUGUGGAUAAGUGCAAGCAUCUGCCUACUUCGUUAUGACUCCAACACUCACACAUUAAACACUCUUUUACUACAAAUUACUUUUUUUUAAUGUUACAGAGAAGCAUGUUGACUUUUUUUUUUUUAAGUUAUGUAUGUAGGUAGGUUAUAUCCUGGGAAUUUCAGUUCAGCACAGUAAAGGAGUCAUUACAAGAUGCUUGAAGGUGGAGGCGUUCUCUUGUGGGGCAGCAGGUUAAGAUCUGGUGUUGUCACUGCAGUGGCUUCGGGGCUUGGGUUGUUGCUGUGGCUUGGGUUCCAUCCCUGGCCCAGGAACUUCCACGUGACCCGGGCAAGGCCAAAGAAAAUAAAUGUUUGAAUCAGUUCUAAUCAGCCUCAUGGUAUUUGGCUUUUUUCCCCACCAGAAGCUUUUCCCUGCCUCGUUCCCCAGAAGGAGCCCUCUCUCUCCUCUGGUAGCCCAGACUCACUCCCAUGAACAAUAUACACACGCGCGUGCACGCCGUGACACACACACACUACACACAGACACAGGCACACACCUUCCACCACCAGACAAUAGCCAGGAGCCUCCGGAACCGUCAAAAGGCCUGCACUUCCCCGACUGUCUUGAGAGUUUCCAGUUCUCCCUUAGUCAAGAAAUAUUGAUUGCUAGGCCCUGCUGGAGUAGAGAAGAUAAUGCUGGCUCCUGCCCACUUGGAGGCUCUUUUUGCUCAUUGCUUUCUUUCUUUCUUCUCCUCCCCUCCUACUUUAAUUUCUCUCCUUGAUGCUCCUCUUCUCGUCUUUUGCUUCCAAUCCUCUCUCCUCGUUCCCUCCCCCAAGCAGGCGAGUAGCAGAGCUCUCUGGUCACCAGCUGUCUCUUCCCCAUCCAACUCCUGUCGCGCUGAGGUGGCUCCGGGCCUUCACCCCCUCCCCUGUCUGACCCUGGCUUCUCCUUUCUCUCCCACCUCAUCUCCUUCUCAUCCGGCCUUCGGCCUCAGUCUCUCAUCUCACCCCGAACCAGGCUCCUUCCUCUUUGUGCAGCCGUCUUUCUCCACCUGCAUCCCAGAUUCCCCGUCUCAGCGUCAGCUCCUUGGCCUUUGGCUCGGGCUCCCUCGCCCCCACCCCAGCUUCCAGUCGUCUAGCCCGCGGGUCCCCGCGCGUGUGCUCGUGCACGGGUGUCCCUCUCUCAGGCCUCGGAGCCCCGCUCCUCCGCCGCCCGCCCCCCGGCGCUGUGG
This 2399-nucleotide long non-coding RNA is filed under the name Sus scrofa (pig). RNAcentral's name for it is "lncRNA (ENSSSCG00050069267.1)". The record is from RNAcentral. Lineage: Eukaryota; Metazoa; Chordata; Mammalia; Artiodactyla; Suidae.